UAAGGAUCAAAACUGGGCAUGGUGG
RNAcentral lists this non-coding RNA (25 nucleotides) under Mus musculus (house mouse). The record is from RNAcentral. Lineage: Eukaryota; Metazoa; Chordata; Mammalia; Rodentia; Muridae.